UGCAAGUCGAGCGGUAGAGAGAAGCUUGCUUCUCUUGAGAGCGGCGGACGGGUGAGUAAUGCCUAGGAAUCUGCCUGGUAGUGGGGGAUAACGUUCGGAAACGAACGCUAAUACCGCAUACGUCCUACGGGAGAAAGCAGGGGACCUUCGGGCCUUGCGCUAUCAGAUGAGCCUAGGUCGGAUUAGCUAGUUGGUGAGGUAAUGGCUCACCAAGGCGACGAUCCGUAACUGGUCUGAGAGGAUGAUCAGUCACACUGGAACUGAGACACGGUCCAGACUCCUACGGGAGGCAGCAGUGGGGAAUAUUGGACAAUGGGCGAAAGCCUGAUCCAGCCAUGCCGCGUGUGUGAAGAAGGUCUUCGGAUUGUAAAGCACUUUAAGUUGGGAGGAAGGGCAGUUACCUAAUACGUGAUUGUUUUGACGUUACCGACAGAAUAAGCACCGGCUAACUCUGUGCCAGCAGCCCGCGGUAAUACAGAGGGUGCAAGCCGUUAAUCGGAAUUACUGGGC
This 510-nucleotide ribosomal RNA is filed under the name PAH-contaminated sludge bacterium PB-7. Its description in RNAcentral is "bacterial SSU rRNA". It matches the Rfam family "Bacterial small subunit ribosomal RNA", at positions 56 to 559 of the family's 1533-position model. Lineage: Bacteria; Pseudomonadati; Pseudomonadota; Gammaproteobacteria; Pseudomonadales; Pseudomonadaceae. The record is from RNAcentral.